CCUACGGGGUGCAGCAGUAGGGAAUCUUUCACAAUGGGCGAAAGCCUGAUGGAGCAACGCCGCGUGCAGGAUGAAGGCCUUCGGGUUGUAAACUGCUUUUAUAAGCGAGAAAUAUGAUGGUAACUUAUGAAUAAGGAUCGGCUAACUACGUGCCAGCAGCCGCGGUCAUACGUAGGAUCCGAGCAUUAUCCGGAGUGACUGGGUGUAAAGAGUUGCGUAGGGGGCAUAAUAAGUAGCUAGUGAAAUCUGGUGGCUAAACCAUUCAGACUAUUAGCUAAACUGUUAAGCUCGAGACCGUUAGGGGUAACUGGAAUUUCUAGUGUAGGAGUGAAAUCCGUAGAUAUUAGAAGGAACACCAAUAGCGUAGGCAGGUUGCUGGGACGGUUCUGACACUAAGGCACGAAAGCGUAGGGAGCAAACGGGAUUAGAUACCCGGGUAGUC
Molecule: ribosomal RNA, 442 nt
Filed under: uncultured bacterium
Lineage: Bacteria
Description: partial 16S ribosomal RNA
Rfam family: Bacterial small subunit ribosomal RNA
Source: RNAcentral